This 1401-nucleotide long non-coding RNA is filed under the name Canis lupus familiaris (dog). RNAcentral describes it as "lncRNA (ENSCAFG00040021810.1)". The record is from RNAcentral. Lineage: Eukaryota; Metazoa; Chordata; Mammalia; Carnivora; Canidae.
GUUGGAAAAAGAAACAUGAAGAGUGUCUGCUAUUGUCAUUCAUUGCUGCGAUCCCUCAGGGUUCUGGAAUUGUUUGCUUCCUGAAGAGUGUGCUGCUUACUGACGCAGGCCGUCCAGAUGCCCAAGGGGAGUGUCUCCGGGUUGCAGAUGUGCUCUAAGCACCUUCCCUGGAAAUCACAGAACUUCAGACCCCCUAAGGAAGGCGAAAAGCUCCCUGAGGAAUCGUGGUGGGGUUCUGGAAACCUGAAGGCCUGCGGCCACAGGCAGUGCUGCUUAGGUGAACUCUCCUCGCAGGAGCUGAAGGCCCGGACUCCAUGGUCUUCUGGGCCUUUCCUCACAGGAGUGGUUGGGUAUGUGGAGUGAAGGGGUGAGGAGGGAAGUGGAGGUGGGGGACGUGAGGGGCUGGUGUUGAGGGCUUGCCCUUUCUGGGCCUUUCCCUCUCUUGCCUUCCCCUUGGUGCUGGUCCCGCCCCCGGGUGCCGGCUGAAGGGGCAGGGCUCCCAGCUAGGGCCCACCCAUGGGCGGCUCAAGGGCCGGGGAAGGGAUGGAGGCCUGGGACACUAGCAAUGGGAGAGAAGGGGAAGUUCCUUCUAGAUCUGAGCGGGGGAGAGAGCGGGGACUUGUGCUAACUGCAGGUGUUCCAUGGGGGACGUGGAGGACGGGGAAUGGGAGUGUCAGGCCCUGCCUGCAAAUGACAGGGUGAGAACUGGAAGAGGAUGGCGAUGAGGAAAAGGAAGGCCACGACGGCCGACGUUGGUUGGGUUUCCUGGGUGCAGGGCGGUGCGACAGAUGAGAGGACUGUCAUCCUGUCCCCCUCCUCAUGGCUCUGGCCAGUGGGCAUUGCCGUUGUCUGAAGAUGAGAGAGUUGGGACUCAGGGGUCCGAGCCAGCUCGCCCAAGGCCAUGGCCAGCGGGGCCAGGGGAGAGCGCCCCUUGCCUGGCCUCCCUCCGACAGCCACCACAGCCCCUCACGCAGCACCCCCCCCCCCGGAAGGCAGGGGCAUCCAAACCUGACGACACCGCCCCUUAUUUCCAUGAGCUUACAGUCCAGUGAUGUUUCCAGAAGACCUCCUUUCCGCUUCUUCACUGCGUCGAGUCCAUCCCAUCUGACACCAGAGGCCUGUCCAGGAGGCCUGUCCCGGCCUGACUUUCCUGAGAGCAGGGCCAAGACAAAGGCGCGAACCCAGGAGGCUGCCGCCUGCCCUUCACGGUAUGCAAAUCUAUGUAACAGCAGACUAUACACCGGAGCCCAGAGCGAACCAGCGGACAUCUGAGACUGCCGGGGCGAGCCCUAGAAGGGGAUGAUCACCGCGGCGGUGGAUAGUGAUUUGGAAAGCUGACUCAGGUCACGGAGGAUGCGGGCUUGGCCCUGAGCGCCUGAUCCAGGCCUCCAAAAGACAACU